RNAcentral lists this ribosomal RNA (293 nucleotides) under uncultured bacterium. RNAcentral's name for it is "partial 16S ribosomal RNA". It matches the Rfam family "Archaeal small subunit ribosomal RNA", at positions 455 to 747 of the family's 1478-position model. The record is from RNAcentral.
GUGCCAGCCGCCGCGGUAACCCCAGCGCCACAAGUGGUCAUCGCGAUUAUUGGGCCUAAAGCGUUCGUAGCCGGUUUGGUGCAUCUCUUGUGAAAUUGUUCGGCUUAACCGGACAGCGUGCAGGAGACACGGCCAAACUCGAGACCGGGAGGCGUGUGAAGUAUGUCGUGGGGACUGGUAAAAUGGGAUAAUCCACGAUAGACUACCGAUGGCGAAGGCAUCACACGAGAACGGAUCUGACGGUGAGGAACGAAAGCCAGGGGAGCGAACCGGAUUAGAUACCCCCGUAGUCC